This 440-nucleotide ribosomal RNA is filed under the name uncultured bacterium. RNAcentral describes it as "partial 16S ribosomal RNA". It matches the Rfam family "Bacterial small subunit ribosomal RNA", at positions 338 to 795 of the family's 1533-position model. The record is from RNAcentral.
CCUACGGGAGGCAGCAGUAGGGAAUCUUCCUCAAUGGGGGCAACCCUGACGCAGCAACGCCGCGUGGAGGAUGAAGGUUUUCGGAUUGUAAACUCCUUUUGUUAGAGAAGAUAAUGACGGUAUCUAACGAAUAAGCCCUGGCUAACUCCGUGCCAGCAGCCGCGGUAAUACGGCGGGCGCAAGCGUUACUCGGAAUCACUGGGCGUAAAGAGCGCGUAGGCGGGUUAGCAAGUCAGAUGUGAAAUCCUAUGGCUUAACCAUAGAGCUGCAUUUGAAACUGGUAUUCUAGAGUAUGGGAGAGGUAGGUGGAAUUCUUGGUGUAGGGGUAAAAUCCGUAGAGAUAAAGAGGAAUACUCAUUGCGAAGGCGACCUGCUAGAACAUAACUGACGCUGAUGCGCGAAAGCGUGGGGAGCAAACAGGAUUAGAUACCCGUGUAGUC